AUUGAACGCUGGCGGCAUGCUUUACACAUGCAAGUCGAACGGUAACAGGCCUUCGGGUGCUGACGAGUGGCGAACGGGUGAGUAAUGCAUCGGAACGUGCCCAGAGGUGGGGGAUAACGCAGCGAAAGCUGUGCUAAUACCGCAUGUGAUCUGAGGAUGAAAGCGGGGGACCAGGCAGCAAUGUUUGGCCUCCCGCCUUUGGAGCGGCCGAUGUCAGAUUAGGUAGUUGGUGGGGUAAAGGCCUACCAAGCCGACGAUCUGUAGCUGGUCUGAGAGGACGACCAGCCACACUGGGACUGAGACACGGCCCAGACUCCUACGGGAGGCAGCAGUGGGGAAUUUUGGACAAUGGGCGCAAGCCUGAUCCAGCAAUGCCGCGUGCGGGAAGAAGGCCUUCGGGUUGUAAACCGCUUUUGUACGGAACGAAAAGGCUCUGGCUAAUACCUGGGGCUGAUGACGGUACCGUAAGAAUAAGCACCGGCUAACUACGUG
This 492-nucleotide ribosomal RNA is filed under the name uncultured bacterium. RNAcentral describes it as "partial 16S ribosomal RNA". It matches the Rfam family "Bacterial small subunit ribosomal RNA", at positions 30 to 507 of the family's 1533-position model. The record is from RNAcentral.